UAAGAGCAGGGCACCUCAGUGCUCUGCAACACAGUGGAAGAAGGUCAAGCAUCUCCUUCAUCAGAGGGUUUCAAGAAGAGGCUGGGGAAACUGAAGCACAGCAAGAUGGGCAAGGAUGCAUCCAAAACCAGCUGCAUGAACCAGAAUAUGAUCGGAGUAGAACUGAUUUCACUGGGACCUGGGUUUACUUCCAGGAUGGUUGACUCCUCAUCCCCACCCCUAAUAACCACUGGAGUCGCUGCCUCCGUCGCCAAAUGGUCACAUCAGCUCCAGACUUUACCCUGCGUCCCUGUAGAGAUGGAUGCAGGCUUGCUAUUGGACUGCAAUGAUGAAGGGAAUAUGGACUACGCAGAGACGCCAUGGACAUGAUACUUCUACAUCCUACUGUGAUUACAGCUGGGUUGUUGAGUUGCUGAUAUAAAUUAAAACAGUGCCUAAGUUGUGCUAACCCACCACACUGGGACUUGUGCAAACUGUAGCACUAAGAGAGUGCUGAACUUUAUUAGCUUUGCAUGUGUGGCCCCAUAUAUACGCAGUGUGAUUUGAUUUAAUAUAGUAUAUCAAAACUGUUGCUAGAGUAAGUUGUUUCAGUAUAUAAAGGACACCAUUUGCACUUGUCUUACUUUAGCAGGCUUCUUCUUGCUCUAGUCCAUAACUCAGGCUUCCUUUACUUAGUUAGCCAUUUGUAAACCCACUGAGAAAACAC
This is a long non-coding RNA of Alligator sinensis (Chinese alligator), 706 nucleotides long. RefSeq lists it as uncharacterized. NCBI's taxonomy places the organism in Eukaryota, Metazoa, Chordata, Crocodylia, Alligatoridae. The record is from RefSeq and is a predicted model, not a curated record. The transcript has 3 exons.